GCACAAGUGUAGUGAUUGUCAUUGAUUUCUUUCCACAUGAUAACCUAAAUGCGAAAGCUUAUAAUAUUAUUCAAGCACUUCCAAGUUCCAUCAUGACAUGUUUGGUGAGGUGCGGAGUGUUUUUAUACCUUUUUGCACGCUUCCACCAAAAUUCCAAGUGCUCUUCAUAGGCCAGAGAGAGCAGAGAGCCCGCUAAAGGAAGAAAGAACAAGAGGAGAACUAUGAGCAAACACAACACCUUCUUCCUACAGUGCAACUUCCUCAUCGUCUUCUUCGUCCUUCACCUACUUGUCUCAUACUCUAGGACGACGUACGCAGACACAGCCACGUGCAAUGGCUCGAUAGCGGAGUGCCACGAGCUCGCCACGGAGUUCGUGUUUGAUUCCGCGGUGAGCAGAAGGUUCAUGGCGGAAUCGCGGCACCUGUCGUAUGGGGCUCUCAGGAAGGACCAGCCAACCUGCGGCGGUGGGGCCAGAGGCCAAGCUUACAGCAAGAGUGAUGGCUGUGGCCUCCCUUCCCAGUCGAAUCCCCAUAGCCCCGGUUGCUCCAAAUACUACCGUUGUAGGUCGGAUUCGUAAGUUUGGUCGUCCUCGUUUUCAUAAAUGUUACGUUCUGCAAUAUUUUCAAUAAAUUCCGUGGUAUAUGCACCCUUCGAAAUGGUAUAUGCAAAGUAAUUAAUGUUGAACAAUUGAUGAAAGGAUCAAUAUGAGGUUAACUCGCUUCCCUUAACUUUAGUUUCUGUGUUCUCCCUGUGCUGAGGAGCAAAGCUCAAGUUAGUAUAAUUUUUCUUUUGGGGCAACCAAUGUAAAUGACUUGCAAUAACAGCUGAUCGGAAGAAAGUAUCAAUUCCGAUCAUUCUAUAUGGGAAAAUUCUCUGAUGCCGCCAUGGGUAUUGUGAUUCCGCUUAACACCUGUUGAAUCGCCCAGAAAGAAAGAAGGAACGUGAGAGAGAAGAGGAACAAUCCGAUCAGUGGAGCUGUGGCGACUCUAUGCCUUAAUUGUACCGUAGAAGUUCCCCGCUCUGAUAUUUUCUAGCCAAACACAUUAAUCAAUCUCGCAAAAGAGAGAUAGAGGAGGAAUACGCGCGCCUCAACAUCAUAUUUGGUUGUGAGCCCUACAUCCUCCGAAAUUGGCGCUUGUUGAAGCUUCAAGUGGUUGACCCACGUGCACGUGGUCCAUUCAGCUUGCUCCAAAGAGGGUAAUGCUUUUAGCACCAGUUGACUAUAAAAUUACUCUGGAGAUCUGUCGAGUGUUUGAAAGGACGAGUUCGUCCUGAUGCUAAAGAGAAAUAUAGCAGUCCGUUUACACCUAUUUUUCAUAAUUCGUGAAAAUAGUCGAGCCAUGACAUGUGCGUGGUAUCUCGAUAAUUUUCCCUGGUUUUGAAGAAUAUUGGAUCAGAUUUGAAGAGGCAGGCCAAGACAAUGGUAGGCUAGGCCGGUUUGAUUAAAGGCCUUCGUCAGGAAAAAGGCCCAAGGUUUCAUAUGUCCAGCCCAAUUCUUGGAGCCCAAAUGAGGAGAAGCCCAGUAAGGUGAGCCUAUGAUGGAAAUUAUAUGCAUUUACACAUGUAUAUGAAGGUGAGCUCGAGAGGGGGCAGUGAAAGAUUUUGGAUUUCCUUUGACAGCCGAGUAUUCUUGAUUAAGCAUGAAAUAUUCAUGCAAUAUCUCGUGUAAUCUCGAAUAAAUAGGUCAGAUAUAUCUCUCCGAUAUAUAGGUUGGUUAGGAGUUAAUUUCCUAUUUUGAUAUUAUCUCGAUAUCGUAUAUUGUGGCGUAGCCGAUUUCGAUAUAUUCUCCAGGGUUUCAUUAUAAACUCCUAUAUAUACGUGUCAUCUUGUUCAUUGUUAGGUCCUGCACAUCAAUUAAUCAAACACGUACUUUCAUUCUA
Punica granatum (pomegranate) is the source of this 1881-nucleotide non-coding RNA. The record is from RefSeq and is a predicted model, not a curated record. NCBI's taxonomy places the organism in Eukaryota, Viridiplantae, Streptophyta, Magnoliopsida, Myrtales, Lythraceae.